This 390-nucleotide ribosomal RNA is filed under the name Triticum aestivum (bread wheat). Its description in RNAcentral is "partial small subunit ribosomal RNA". Lineage: Eukaryota; Viridiplantae; Streptophyta; Magnoliopsida; Poales; Poaceae. The record is from RNAcentral.
AUGGUUGAACGACAUCUGUUCAGAGAUUGGACACGGGCGAAUUUUCAGGUGCCGGACGAUCAUUUCAUCAAUACGGAAGACUGGUGGCUGCAAGCACGUAAGUUAGUUCCCAAGCCUAUGCGUCAGAACUUUGACACAAUCUCCAUCUUGAUUCACUGGAGGAUUUGGAAGGAAAGAAAUUCUAGAAUUUUUGAGCAGGAAGCGAGUAGUCCCUUCAAAGUUUUGGAUCGAAUCAUAGAAGAUAUUGGGAUAUGGAGGGCGGCCGGUUGUGUCACUAACACCGGCAACCUUUCUUCAGUUGCUGGUUUGCCCCCUUUUAGUUGUUUUGACGGCUGUUGCCGUCCUUUUGUAUUUUCGGAACGUCUCAGUUCCGUGGGUUCCCAGUUCUAG